This 148-nucleotide non-coding RNA is filed under the name Nomascus leucogenys (northern white-cheeked gibbon). Lineage: Eukaryota; Metazoa; Chordata; Mammalia; Primates; Hylobatidae. The record is from Rfam by way of RNAcentral.
GCUGGGCAUGGUGGCGCGUGCCUGUAGUCCCAGCCACUCGGGAGGCUGAGGCAGAAGAAUCACUUGACCCCAGGAGGAGGAGGCUGCAGUGAGCUGAGAUUACGACACUGCACUCCAGCCUGGGCGACAGAGUGAGACUCUGUCUCAA